GGGUGUGAAAGUGUAAUUUUUGGAAUUUUCAACUGAAUGGUAAAAAUGAAAUGGUAAAUUGGUUAAAACCAAUUAAGGGUAAAAUGGGAAUUUUUAAAUUUUUGUAGGGGUAUGGGAUUAAUCGUAGGGGUACAAGGUAAAAUUUUCCAAAAGAGAUGGGAAGUCUUCAUCGUGGAAUCACACAAGCUCUUUCUUUCUUAAACCUCUCUCUCCCCAAAGCGAAAUCCGAUUAUUCCUCCGCCGCACCGAAAAUAUCCUCCGGCGGCGGCUGAGUCUGAAAUGACCCCAACCUUCCAUGAAAACCAUAGUCUCUACCUCCUAUCUCCCAAUCCAUAGUUGCCUUUCUCUAAUUCUAUCCACAGAACUCAAAUCAAAGACCAAAAUGUACGAACCCUAAAUCUUCAAAUCCAAAUUAAAUGCAAGUGAUACCUAAUAUGGAACUUAAAACUUAGGGUUAUAUAUCCUUUAUGCUAAUGAUAUCCUCUAGUAACGAGAAUUGGACAAAACAAGAAAGUUUGAAGGGGAUGAACCAAACUUCGAAGCGGUGAGUUGCUCCGAUCAAGAUUGCAAGACUUGAAGGAGAAGAUAAUAAGAAAACCAGAGAUGCUUCGAAUGAGGUAAGAAAUCGAACUCCAAACUCCACAUUUCUAUCUUUUUAUACUCCUUCUUCUAUGUAUAACCUGUAGGAGAAUUCACGUGACCCUGCAUUGUUCUUGUUAUUGUGUUCUUGUUUGAGAUUGAUGAGAGUUGAGAGGUGAGUGAUGAGGAGAUUCAGAUGGUGCAGUGAGAUUGAGAAUGAGUUUGCAGUGAGAGAGAUUCAAUUCUGAGGUGAGGAUUGUGAGGUUUUAUGCUAAUGAUUGGUGAUCCCUGCAAAUGAUUGGGGAGUGAUGGUUUUAUAGAGAUUUGAAAUUUAACAGAGUUCAAAUCUGUAAGAUCUCCCAAGUGAAAAUUGGUUGCAAGUUAUCAAACUGUUAACAAUUCAGUUAGAGUUAGUUUAGUUUUGUAAUCUGUUAACUCUGCUAGUUAGUUAGGAAUGGAUCUGUUUAGGGUUAGUCUAUUAGAUUUUAUAGAAUGAGUUAGUUAGAUGUUAACCGGUGUUGAAAAUUUUGUUAGUUUAAUGUUAGCUCUAUUAAAUUGGUUAGUAAAUGUGAGUAGUUCAGUUAGUUUGUGUUGGUGAACUCGGUUUUUGUGAGUUGUUAUUGAAAUUCAGUUGUGUUCAAAGGGAAGAAAAUGUUAAUAUGUUAAAAUUUUGUUGUGAAUUUAUUAUGUCAGUAAAUGUUAUGAAGGUUUGUUAUAGUAUGUUGAACUUGGUUAAAUCAGUUAAUUACUAUUAGAAUAUUCAAAGCUAGUUGGUUAAAAAUUAUAAAACUUGGUUAAUCUAAUUUGAUGUCAAAAGUUGUUAUGUGUUCAUGAAGUGUGUUAAAACUCUGUUAGUAAAAAUUGAAAUUAUGAUCUAUCACAAAUAGGUUUUAAGAACAUUAUGAGAACAUGAACUUGGUUAGUAGAUUUACAACUUAGUGAAAGUUAGUUGCAAAAGUUUGGCUAAAUUGGAUGGAACUUGAUGCUAUGUUGAAAUUUGAAUGAUUGUUAGUGAAGACAUAGUUAUUUUAGGAGGACUUCUUAACAUAGGAAAGAUGAAUUGUUAGUUAAACCCUAUUUAGUUAGUGUGAUGUUAGUAUUAAAAUCAAUGCAAUUAUUUGAACACGAUAAAGGCUAAGCCUUGAAUGAUUGUUAGUGUAGUAUUUGAGGUUAUGUUUAAUGGGAUGCUUAUUAGAAUUGGUGAAUAUGUUUGAAUUAGAAAUGAUAUGAAAUUAAUGGAAUGUUAUAGCCUUAGUGUGAUUGUUUGGUUUGGUAUUUGAUUAAAACUUGGUGAAUGCUAAUGAUGCUUUGAUUUUGUUCUUGUAGGCACGAGUGGGUAUGGAUUGAGGGUUUAAUCAAGGAUUGAACCUUUGAUGAAAAGAAACAAAAACCAUGAAGAACAAUGAAGAACCCGACUAUGGGUGACUUGAGGAGAAAGUUGUAACUAGAAUUAAGGCUAGUAGAGUUGAUUUUGGUCAAUUGGUUGACCAAAAAGUCAACAAUUGACCAAAGUCAACUGUAUGUCCAAGUUGCAUUAUUUUUUGUGGAGGUUUAGAAUUUGUGGAAUGAUGUAAUGAUUUGUAAAUGGAUGAUGGAUGACUUUGUAAUGAAAAAUGAACUUAUGUAUUUUGACCUUUAAUGAAUUCUUCCUCCAAAUUAUGACCUAUGAAUUAAACUUAUGCAGACAACUUGAAUCUUGCCCUUUGAAUCAACUUUGAAUAUGAACUAGCAAGGUCCUUCUUGAAUGAACUUUGAGUAUCAAUACCUUGAAUUAAAUCCAAUCCCAAACCCUUAAAGGACAAAAUAUAUGACCACUGAAAACCACUACAAACCUCCAUAAAUGGUCACAAACCCUUG
This 2436-nucleotide long non-coding RNA is filed under the name Lathyrus oleraceus (garden pea). RNAcentral's name for it is "Pisum sativum (pea) long non-coding RNA (PSAT_LNC029235)". The record is from RNAcentral. Lineage: Eukaryota; Viridiplantae; Streptophyta; Magnoliopsida; Fabales; Fabaceae.